This 317-nucleotide ribosomal RNA is filed under the name uncultured eukaryote. RNAcentral describes it as "partial large subunit ribosomal RNA". It matches the Rfam family "Eukaryotic large subunit ribosomal RNA", at positions 40 to 350 of the family's 3401-position model. The record is from RNAcentral.
AUAUUAUUAAGGGGAGGAAAAGAAACUAACAAGGAUUCCCCCAGUAACGGCGAGUGAAGCGGGAACAGCUCAAAGUGAAAAUCGAUGCUUGUCACAGAGUAUCGAGUUGUAACCUAGAGACGCAAAGCCAGUGACAGCCCAGGUAUAAAUCUUUUUGAACAAGGUAUCAGAGAGGGUGACAAUCCCGUCUUUGACUUGGAGUCAUGUCACGUACGGUUUGUGUUCGACGAGUCGAGUUGCUUGGGAAUGCAGCUUAAAAUGGGUGGUAAAUUUCAUCUAAAGCUAAAUAUUGGCGAGAGACCGAUAGCGCACAAGUA